This is a long non-coding RNA of Capra hircus (goat), 2537 nucleotides long. RefSeq lists it as uncharacterized. The transcript has 3 exons. NCBI's taxonomy places the organism in Eukaryota, Metazoa, Chordata, Mammalia, Artiodactyla, Bovidae. The record is from RefSeq and is a predicted model, not a curated record.
AUUCCGGUUUCGGACCCUGGCUGGUGUAGACACGUGCAGGUUAGGAGGAGAAUCUUUGGGGCUGUUUUGUGGGUCCACGCUGACUUUUGUGAGCUCUGGGCCCUGAACUCUUGGGCAGUACUGGGCCAGGAACACCCAGAGCCACUUCGAAGCCGCGAAGAAAAAUAGGUUCAUUUAUUUGAACAGCUGCUGCUGCUUAAAGGAUCGUUUUUGUACGAGACAGGCCUACUAAAAGGGCUGACAAAAGAAUUAAACAAUCUUGCUGAGAGGAAAUGAUUCAGUAUGUGACUCCUGAAGGAAUCCAAGAAGGAACAGCGAACAUCUUGAAAGCAGGAUGGACGGCUGGGGAUGGAAAGCCAUCAGCAGACUGUUCCUGUCCUUGGUGCCUGAGAGGCGCAUAAAGAUUACCUGGGUCUCUGUCCUUGAGGCAGAAAAACAGGGAUACAAAAAUAUUAAAUGUUAACUGCACAGGAUUAUCAUUGAAGGCCACCUGGCCUGCUAUGCUCAUGUAAACACGUACAAGCAAGUCUCAAAAAGCAUAAUAAAGCACGCUUAAGAUCAGUUUGGGCACCUUCACCUCGUGGGGGUGUUGGUCCCCUGAUCCCCGCUGUAACUUCCUUGAGUAUUUAUCAUUCUUUUGCCACUGUGGCGCUUUGGGGAACCUGUACUGUCGAGCUGGACUCGACAAGUGACACCCCAACAGGGACCUUAAAGGGAAACCAGUUUUCGAAGCUUCUCAUUAGGAGGCAAGGAACUCGGGGAAUUCUGACCGAAGAGGUGGAUGUGGAAAGUACCUGAGGAAAAUGAACACCGAUGGAUCCUGAGGAGGAGAAUCUGGUACUGGAAAGAAAGAAAACACGAUUUGAUAUAGACCCACCCUCCCGACCUCUGACGCCUGCCAUGCCGUACCUUACAUUAGAACUUGGGCCUGCCAAGACCAAGAGAACGUGAACUGCUACAAUACCCACUUGGGGUCAGAUAAAGAAGUUAUCGCAGGAAGCUGAGAGCCUAGUUCAUCAUCAUGGCCUUCCAAAAACAUCUGCCAAUCUACUACUGGCUAUGGUAACCCUUAUCACAGUGUCGGUAAGUGUUCAAGCUGAUUCCAGUCAUUAUUGGGCAUAUAUUCCCAAUCCUCAUUUAUUAAGACCCAUUACAUAGGAAGAUUCAGUAUUCCUAUAUUUGUCAAUGAAUCAGCCUGGCUUUCCUGGUCCUUAUGAUCAAAGCCUUCCUUUACAAAAGGAAGAAGGGCGAUCUCUAAAAAAUUAUACAGUAAGAACAGACAGCACAUCCAUUUGUAUAGGAUUUGGAGAAUUCUGUUUAAAGAUAGGAUUCCAGGGAUGGCUUUCUAUUGUAGAAAAGCCUGGAGAGAAUAAGAACACUUUUUUCUUAUUAACAGUACUUACUUUUAAAGAAAGAGAAAAUUCCACCAUACAUUAUAGUCCUCCUAAUCUUCCAGGCUAUGCUUUAAGAAUAGGACAUGGUGUGGAUGGAGGACUGGAUCCAGUGGAAAAAUGGUAGACAGUCUGAAGGUCAUCUGUUACUAAAUACUCCUGAGGGACAGACUAUAGAUUGGGGCCCUAGAGGAACCCCUAAGAUUAAAGGAACAAAUAUCUCUAGUCCAUGGAUAUAUCAUAAUGACACACUUAGUACGUAUGGAAAUGCAUCUUUGAUAUGGCAAGGAGAGGGAUUUGCUCCCCCCAUUCCUCAACUUACCCAUCACCCAGUACAUAAUGAGAUUUGGAAGACACCUAUGGCUUUAAAAACCCUUAAGGCUUGCAAUGGCCGUUAUACUGAAUAUAUCUUAAAUGAUCCUAAGGCAACUUUUAAUUUUAAUAAAAAUUCUACUCCUACUAUUCAGGCCUGUGUAAGAUUACCUUUUGUAUUUGUGUUAGGGCCAGUGAUAUAGAACAUCUCUACUGGUCUUAUAAAUUGUAUAAAUUGUUCUUUUUAUACUUGUUUAAACAAUACCAUUCCUUUCAGUGAAUCUUGGCAAAGUAUUUAUGUUUUAAAAACUCAGGUAUUUGGAUACCAGUGGAUUUACAAAGAGGCUGGCAAGAAAGCCCUACUCUUUAUGCCGUAGAAGAAAUUAUAAAAGCAACUUUUAAAAGAACAAAAAGAUUUAUUGGUAUGUUAAUAGCAGCUAUUCUGGGAAUUAUAGCAAUAACUGCCACCACAGCAGUGGCCAGAAUAGCAUUGCAUCAGUCUGUUCAAAGUGUUCAUUUUGUACAAGAAUGGCCUAAGGAUGCAGACGUUCUUUGGCCCACUCAACAAAAAAUAGAUGAAAAAUUGGCUUCACAAGUGGCUGACUUACAACAUUCUGUUAUUUUAUUAGAUAAAUUGGUAAGUCUACAAAAACAAGACUAAAAGUGUGACUAGAAUUACACAUCAUUCUGUGUGACUGCACAUAAAUAUAAUCAAGCAACUUUCAACUGGGAUAAGGUUAAACGACAUUUACUAAAUCAAGGAAAUAUUACAUUAGAUAUACAAGAGUUACGACGUGACAUUCUAGACAUGUUUAAUAAAAAACUUGCUGUGAU